UCCACAUGGUGAAUGUGCCUGAAUUAUUGC
This 30-nucleotide non-coding RNA is filed under the name Homo sapiens (human). The record is from RNAcentral. Lineage: Eukaryota; Metazoa; Chordata; Mammalia; Primates; Hominidae. RNAcentral also lists the same sequence under 1 other name.